Molecule: ribosomal RNA, 497 nt
Filed under: uncultured bacterium
Lineage: Bacteria
Description: partial 16S ribosomal RNA
Rfam family: Bacterial small subunit ribosomal RNA
Source: RNAcentral
GAUGAACGCUGGCGGCGUGCCUAAUACAUGCAAGUCGAGCGAACAGACGAGGAGCUUGCUCCUCUGACGUUAGCGGCGGACGGGUGAGUAACACGUGGAUAACCUACCUAUAAGACUGGGAUAACUUCGGGAAACCGGAGCUAAUACCGGAUAAUAUAUUGAACCGCAUGGUUCAAUAGUGAAAGACGGUUUUGCUGUCACUUAUAGAUGGAUCCGCGCCGCAUUAGCUAGUUGGUAAGGUAACGGCUUACCAAGGCAACGAUGCGUAGCCGACCUGAGAGGGUGAUCGGCCACACUGGAACGGGGACACGGUCAAGACUCCUACGGGAGGCAGCAGUAGGGAAUCUUCCGCAAUGGGCGAAAGCCUGACGGAGCAACGCCGCGUGAGUGAUGAAGGUCUUCGGAUCGUAAAACUCUGUUAUUAGGGAAGAACAAAUGUGUAAGUAACUAUGCACGUCUUGACGGUACCUAAUCAGAAAGCCACGGCUAACUACGUG